CAAGCGAUACGUGUUCUCUGUGAUACGCAUUGUUUUACCCCUUCAGCGUACGAUUCCUGUUGCUUCCGUGGGAGUGACUCCACGGGAGGGUGGUCUCAAAUCAAUUUUAACCUCAUGUGUGUGGUCUGUACGUAACAGAGCAAAAGUCA
Molecule: unclassified non-coding RNA, 149 nt
Filed under: uncultured fungus
Lineage: Eukaryota; Fungi
Description: sequence contains ITS1
Source: RNAcentral